CAAAAGCCUUAAAACCAAGUCGGACUAGCAACAUCGAUCUCCUCUAUGUUUCCUCUACAUUUACUUCCAAUUUCUUUACAAUUUUUUCGGUGCUUCCACACGUAACUUUUGAAACCCGUUAGGAUUCUAUCCCCACACGGUCUCCCUCCACCGUGUAUCACCUUGGAUUCAACAUCAUCACCUGACAUUCUUUUGUGUCUAGACCUUAGGUCCCUUGUGAGCCUAGUCCUAAUCCCACCAAAACCGUUGUUGACGUCCAAGGAUAAUGACUCUAGUCCAACCUUGUCACAUGGCAUCAUGAUCAUAUUACUCAGUGAACCUAGUUUCAGUCCUUAUCAUUGACCAUGAUUGACAUCAAGUCACAUGUACAAA
Molecule: long non-coding RNA, 372 nt
Filed under: Oryza brachyantha (malo sina)
Lineage: Eukaryota; Viridiplantae; Streptophyta; Magnoliopsida; Poales; Poaceae
Description: long non-coding RNA (OBRA_LNC002264)
Source: RNAcentral